Molecule: long non-coding RNA, 743 nt
Organism: Corticium candelabrum
Lineage: Eukaryota; Metazoa; Porifera; Homoscleromorpha; Homosclerophorida; Plakinidae
Exons: 5
Source: RefSeq, a predicted model, not a curated record
GCUGUGGUUUGGAAACAUGAUUGAUUUGGUCUCGUUAUCGUCGGGGUGCAGCCUGAGAAUGCACGAUGAUGAGACAGUAGGAUACAUGUACUUGUACAUUCAGAUCUUGUUAUUCCAACCCACUGGUUUCUGUCGGAUUAACAUGACAAAUGCACAGUGACCGAUGUAAAUUGGUUUAUGUGUGUACCUUCAUCAGAAACUCUAUUUAUGGUCAUUGGUCGAGACGAUUCCGGUGUAUUUGCUCUUCAAAACUAUGAAUUUCCUCAGCGCUGGCUGGCAAUAAAGGAUGGCAUUGUAAUUAACACACUACGCGAAGCUGCCGGUUUUCAUGUAACAUUGCAGUCAUUUAAUUCAUCCGGGUAUCAUCAUCUCGGUUCUCCGAAAUGGAGAUUUGAGACCAGCGAAGGGAGGUCGUGAUUGUCUCUUUAUAGCAGCAACAGUAUUCGUGUGAUCUUUAACAUUUCAAGAGUUGAAGUUGCAUGGAGGCAUUGCACCCAGUCAGAGACUCGAUCUUUGAGUGCCUUUCGGACAAAGCAACUUCUAGAGAACAAGAGUUCAUGACGCUACUAUACUAAACUACAUAAUGAAGGCAGGAAAGCUUGAAUUGAUAUCUUUUUUUGCCAUGUACAUAGCAUUACAUCAACAACAAAUGAAAAUGUGAAGUUGAUGAUAAUAGUGUAUUGCCUCACCUUUAACGGCAGUUUUCUUGUUAAUAUGUGCUAUAGAAUAAUGUGGUUAAUGAA